This 110-nucleotide small nucleolar RNA is filed under the name Eutrema salsugineum. RNAcentral describes it as "Plant small nucleolar RNA R71". It matches the Rfam family "Plant small nucleolar RNA R71". From Rfam's summary of the family: R71 is a member of the C/D box family of snoRNAs containing the C (UGAUGA) and D (CUGA) box motifs. Multiple nearly identical copies of this snoRNA have been identified in Arabidopsis, and it is thought to function as a 2'-O-ribose methylation guide for 18S ribosomal RNA. The record is from Rfam by way of RNAcentral. Lineage: Eukaryota; Viridiplantae; Streptophyta; Magnoliopsida; Brassicales; Brassicaceae.
AAUCUGUGAUGUGGACAAUCACGUUCAUACUCCUUAAAUCACUCCCAGGCUUCAUAAAAAGACUCGACCGGAUCUUGUUGGAAACUUUGGAUUUUGUUUCUCAACAGGUU